GAGAGUUAAACAGUACGUGAAAUUGUUGAAAGGGAAACGAUUGAAGCCAGUCGUACCUUCGGGUAAUCAGCCUUUCGGGUGCGAUUCUGUGGGGUGUGAAGAGUUAAACGCCUUCACGUUUUGCAUAUUCGUGCUCUUGGGUGUACUUGCCCGUGUGGUUGGUUAACAUCAAUUUUGGACGCCAUAAAAUGACUGGAGGAAUGUAGCUUCGAUCUCGUAUUGAAGUGUUAUAGCCUUCGGUAGAUGUGGUUUUCGAGAUUGAGGAUUGCAACGGAUACCCUUCGGGGCUACCUAUCUGAUCUCUGAUCGUUGCUCUGGUGCCGAAAGCUUGCUUACGGUUAUCAAAGUCGAUGGUCAAUAUGUUAGAAUGGGUUAAAUUCGUUAAGGAUGUUGACGUAAUGGCUUUAAACGA
RNAcentral lists this ribosomal RNA (412 nucleotides) under uncultured Rhizophagus. RNAcentral describes it as "partial 28S ribosomal RNA". Lineage: Eukaryota; Fungi; Glomeromycota; Glomeromycetes; Glomerales; Glomeraceae. The record is from RNAcentral.